UGAGACCUGAUGCCGAGCCGAUUGUGGUGAAGUGGAUGAUCCUAUGCUGUCGAGAAAAGCCUCUAGCGAGUUUCAUGGCGGCCCGUACCCUAAACCGACUCAGGUGGUCAGGUAGAGAAUACCGAGGCGUUCGGGUGAACUAUGGUUAAGGAACUCGGCAAAAUGCCCCCGUAACUUCGGGAGAAGGGGGGCCACGGCUGGUGAU
This 205-nucleotide ribosomal RNA is filed under the name Streptomyces albus subsp. albus. Its description in RNAcentral is "partial 23S ribosomal RNA". It matches the Rfam family "Bacterial large subunit ribosomal RNA", at positions 1557 to 1764 of the family's 2925-position model. Lineage: Bacteria; Bacillati; Actinomycetota; Actinomycetes; Kitasatosporales; Streptomycetaceae. The record is from RNAcentral. RNAcentral also lists the same sequence under 1 other name.